Long non-coding RNA from Passer domesticus (house sparrow), 726 nucleotides. RefSeq lists it as uncharacterized. The record is from RefSeq and is a predicted model, not a curated record. The transcript is spliced from 5 exons. NCBI's taxonomy places the organism in Eukaryota, Metazoa, Chordata, Aves, Passeriformes, Passeridae.
GUGAAUGAUGCCAAAAGUCAGGUGUCAACAGAUGGUCUGAAAAACUCCAGCAUUUGGUAAGCAAAAGUUCACCAGUGGGAGCACCUCUUCAGGAACUGGUGCACAGGAAAACAUACACCAGAAACUGAAACAUACAGUUAGAAUCUGAAACCAAAACCUUGAAAGGAGCAGUGACUUCCUCACCCAGGAUUAUCUGAAGAGAAAUCCUCAGCAUAGGUCUCAGACCACCCUAACAAGAUCAUUCCCUCUCUGUUUCCAGAAGGAAGAAAGUCCUGGUCUGUACCAGGGAGCCAAAUCAGAACUACUUCAAGCUGUGGCUGUAUUUACUCUGAGCACCACGCUCCAAACCUGCUAUUUCCAAACAUCCACCGAGCAAAAGAAAAUCCGAUGCACAAGCUUGAGUCUGUCAGCUGGCACAGCGAGCUCCCUGGGCAGGCUCCCUGCUCCUCCCAGCCCCACCAGGGACCGGCACGCAGCUGAUGCGGCUGCAGCACUCGACAGAGCAGAAACGCGGCCGCAAAUACUAACAACAGAAGCAGCACAGAAAAAAACUCGCUGCAAAGGAUUAAGAACAUCAGUCCUGACCUUCUCUCUGUGUGGAAGGAAUUCAAGUGGCCCUCAGGAAAAUGAAAGCAGGAUUUAUUUUAAAUGGACCUUUUAUGGAAAUGACUGUGGUUUCCAGCUCGUCAGAUAGACUCCAUCAAUAAAUAGCCUUAUUCACCUUGC